RNAcentral lists this ribosomal RNA (2549 nucleotides) under Rhodococcus (subgen. Prescottella) equi. RNAcentral describes it as "Rhodococcus hoagii partial 23S ribosomal RNA". It matches the Rfam family "Bacterial large subunit ribosomal RNA", at positions 1 to 2324 of the family's 2925-position model. The record is from RNAcentral. Lineage: Bacteria; Bacillati; Actinomycetota; Actinomycetes; Mycobacteriales; Nocardiaceae.
ACAGUGGACGCGAGCAUCUUUGUUGUAAGUGUUUAAGAGCGUACGGUGGAUGCCUUGGCACCAGGAGCCGAUGAAGGACGUAGGAGGCUGCGAUAAGCCUCGGGGAGCUGUCAACCGAGCUGAGAUCCGAGGAUGUCCGAAUGGGGAACCCAGCCACAGUGAUGUGUGGUUACCCGCGCCUGAAUAUAUAGGGCGUGUGGAGGGAACGUGGGGAAGUGAAACAUCUCAGUACCCACAGGAAGAGAAAACAACAUGUGAUUCCGUGAGUAGUGGCGAGCGAAAGCGGAAGAGGCUAAACCAUGGGUGUGUGAUAGCCGGCGGGCGUUGCAUUCGUGGGGUUGUGGGAUCCGUCUUGUCAAUUCUGCCGGAUUGGCCGACAGUGAGAAAUCAUCGUGUUAGUCGAAGUGGUCUGGAACGGCCUGUCGUAGAGGGUGAGAGUCCCGUAGACGAAAACAUGGUGACUGUCGUGACGGACACCCGAGUAGCAGCGGGCCCGUGAAAUCUGCUGUGAAUCUGUCGGGACCACCCGAUAAGCCUGAAUACUCCCUGGUGACCGAUAGCGGACUAGUACCGUGAGGGAAAGGUGAAAAGUACCCCGGGAGGGGAGUGAAAUAGUACCUGAAACCGUGCGCUUACAAUCCGUCAGAGCCUGCGCCACUUCGGUGGGUGGGUGAUGGCGUGCCUUUUGAAGAAUGAGCCUGCGAGUUAGCGGCAUGUCGCGAGGUUAACCCGUGUGGGGUAGCCGUAGCGAAAGCGAGUCCGAAUAGGGCGUUUGUAGUGGCAUGUUCUAGACCCGAAGCGGAGUGAUCUACCCAUGGCCAGGGUGAAGCGACGGUAAGACGUCGUGGAGGCCCGAACCCACUUAGGUUGAAAACUGAGGGGAUGAGCUGUGGGUAGGGGUGAAAGGCCAAUCAAACUCCGUGAUAGCUGGUUCUCCCCGAAAUGCAUUUAGGUGCAGCGUCGCGUGUUUCACUCUGGAGGUAGAGCUACUGGAUGGCCGAUGGGCCCCACAAGGUUACUGACGUCAGCCAAACUCCGAAUGCCAGAGUGUGAGAGCGCGGCAGUGAGACUGCGGGGGAUAAGCUUCGUAGUCGAGAGGGAAACAGCCCAGAUCGCCGGCUAAGGCCCCUAAGCGUGUACUAAGUGGAAAAGGAUGUGGGGUCGCGAAGACAACCAGGAGGUUGGCUUAGAAGCAGCCACCCUUGAAAGAGUGCGUAAUAGCUCACUGGUCAAGUGAUCCUGCGCCGACAAUGUAGCGGGGCUCAAGUACACCGCCGAAGCCGCGGCAUUCACAUAACACCCAUGCGGGUCUACGGGCCUGUGUGCAGUGGUGUGGAUGGGUAGGGGAGCGUCGUGCAGCCAUGGAAGCGCCGGAGUGAUCCAGGUGUGGAGGCUGCACGAGUGAGAAUGCAGGCAUGAGUAGCGAAAGACGAGUGAGAAACUCGUCCGCCGAAUGACCAAGGGUUCCUGGGCCAGGUUAAUCCGCCCAGGGUGAGUCGGGACCUAAGGCGAGGCCGACAGGCGUAGUCGAUGGACAACGGGUUGAUAUUCCCGUACCCGUGUGAACGCGCCCCUGGUGAAUCAGUGAUGCUAAGCGCCCUGAAGCCGCCUUCGAACCUUCGGGUUCUCCGGUGUGUGGAUGCGCGUGAACCGAUCUGGUAGUAGCCAAGCGAUGGGGUGACGCAGGAAGGUAGCUGAGCCAGUCAGUGGUAAUACUGGUGUAAGCGUGUAGGGCGUGACCUAGGCAAAUCCGGGUCACAUACAGCCUGAGACGUGAUGCGUAGCCGAUUGAGGCGAAUUCAGUGAUCCUAUGCUGCCGAGAAAAGCCUCUAGCGAGCUUUCACACGGCCCGUACCCCAAACCGACACAGGUGGUCAGGUAGAGAAUACUAAGGCGAUCGAGAUAACUGUGGUUAAGGAACUCGGCAAAAUGCCCCCGUAACUUCGGGAGAAGGGGGGCCUCGUCUGGUGACGGAACUUGCUUCCUGAGCUGGGUGGGGCCGCAGAGACCAGAGAGAAGCGACUGUUUACUAAAAACACAGGUCCGUGCGAAGUCGUAAGACGAUGUAUACGGACUGACGCCUGCCCGGUGCUGGAAGGUUAAGAGGACCGGUUAGCCAGUAAUGGCGAAGCUGAGAAUUUAAGCCCCAGUAAACGGCGGUGGUAACUAUAACCAUCCUAAGGUAGCGAAAUUCCUUGUCGGUAAGUUCCGACCUGCCGAAUGGCGUAACGACUUCUCUGCUGUCUCAACCACAGACUCGGCGAAAUUGCAUUACGAGUAAAGAUGCUCGUUACGCGCGGCAGGACGAAAAGACCCCGGGACCUUCACUAUAGCUUGGUAUUGGUGUUCGGUUCGGUUUGUGUAGGAUAGGUGGGAGACUGUGAAGCGGGCACGCCAGUGUUCGUGGAGUCGUUGUUGAAAUACCACUCUGAUCGUAUUGGACAUCUAACCUCGGACCAUGAUCUGGUUCAGGGACAGUGCCUGGUGGGUAGUUUUAACUGGGGCGGUUGCCUCCCAAAAUGUAACGGAGGCGCCCAAAGGUUCCCUCA